AUUGAACGCUGGCGGCAGGCCUAACACAUGCAAGUCGAACGGAUGCAGGGUGAUUGCUCCUGCUUACGGGUGGGGACGGGCGGAUGAUGCAUGGAUACAUCCGAGUUUGCGUUUUCUAAGGUCCGAACGCGGGGACUCUUACGCUAAUACCCCUGACGGCGUACGGGUGAAAUCUUCGGAUCUUCGGCUCUUGCAUGAGCCUAGGUCGGAUUAGCUAGUUGGCGGGGUAAAGGCCUACCAAGGCGACGAUCCGUAACUGGUCUGAGAGGAUGAUCAGCCACACUGGAACUGAGACACGGUCCAGACUCCUACGGGAGGCAGCAGUGGGGAAUAUUGGACAAUGGGCGCAAGCCUGAUCCAGCCAUACCGCGUGUGUGAAGAAGGCCUUCGGGUUGUAAAGCACUUUUGUUGGGGAAGAAAAGCAGCAAGUUAAUACCUCGCUGUUCUGACGGUACCAAAAGAAUAAGCACCGGCUAACUUCGUG
Molecule: ribosomal RNA, 484 nt
Filed under: uncultured bacterium
Lineage: Bacteria
Description: partial 16S ribosomal RNA
Rfam family: Bacterial small subunit ribosomal RNA
Source: RNAcentral